CAGUCGCCACGGUAAUACGGAGGGUGCAAGCGUUAAUCGGAAUUACUGGGCGUAAAGCGCACGCAGGCGGUUUGUUAAGUCAGAUGUGAAAUCCCCGAGCUUAACUUGGGAACUGCAUUUGAAACUGGCAAGCUAGAGUCUUGUAGAAGGGGGUAGAAUUCCAGGUGUAGCGGUGAAAUGCGUAGAGAUCUGGAGGAAUACCGGUGGCGAAGGCGGCCCCCUGGACAAAGACUGACGCUCAGGUGCGAAAGCGUGGGGAGCAAACAGGAUUAGAUACCCGCGUAGUCCCUGUCUCUUAUAC
Molecule: ribosomal RNA, 301 nt
Filed under: uncultured bacterium
Lineage: Bacteria
Description: partial 16S ribosomal RNA
Rfam family: Bacterial small subunit ribosomal RNA
Source: RNAcentral